Molecule: unclassified non-coding RNA, 254 nt
Filed under: Hevea brasiliensis (rubber tree)
Lineage: Eukaryota; Viridiplantae; Streptophyta; Magnoliopsida; Malpighiales; Euphorbiaceae
Source: RNAcentral
UGUGUAACCAUGACAAUUGGUGGAAGUACUGCUAUCUCUUCUGAACUUGAGGAUGGGGAUUCAUUGAGUAGCUACAUAUAUGAAAUUUUGAUGAAGGGCAUUGAGAUUCUUGUCAUCAGUGCUUGUGAGGACCUUGAUUGAUCUGAUGAUAUGCUGUGGCAGUACCUUAGAAAUAGAAGCCUCCGAGAGCUUCGAUUGGUAAAUAUGAACAAACUGGCGUCCCUCCCCAUGGGACUUCAACAUGUUCCCACUCU